UUUUCAAAGUUGACCAGUCCAUUGAUUUUGUGAAAAAAAAAAUUUGGUCUUUGGUCGAACUCACACCUCUCCGUCUCGCUAAAGUCGCUGGUAAUGCUCCCAGCAAGUUCUAUAAAAUGUAAGCCAAUUUACUUUUACACCCACUCAAAGUAUGAUAUUGCUUUGUAGGAUUAAUUAUCUAAUUUAACAGCUUCUAUGCACUUAAGUGUUUAAAUAACGGAUUGCUUUUUCGACAUUUGGUUUUCUGCUUUGUAUUGUUUCAAAUAAUGUUUAAUGAUAUGGAUUAUGAUAUUUGUUACUUUUUAACUAAUUUAGAACUUCCGAUUCAGUGUACUCCAUCCUUCCCUCUCGGCACAUACAUUUGGUAACUGGAUUGUUUGGCGUGGAUUUGGUUAUCAACAUCUGAGAUCUGUAGUCCCUUGACGGCGUGUACCGUACGGAAGGUUCAAAAAUAUAUUUGGUCACAACUCACAAUAAAGCUGGAAUUCAAAGGGGAAGUGGCGGUCUGUUCACUGAAGUGGAAGAGAUUUAUCACUACAGCCAAGAGGGUAGACCUGACUGAUGUGGGCAUUGUUGGCGGUCUGUUCGCUGAAAUGGAAGAGAAGGACAAGGGGCUUCCAAAUUCUUUGUAUAUGGGUCGAGCCAAGGGACUUCCAAAUUCUUUGUUUACGUCAAGCAGAAUGACAGUGUGAGAUGCUCUGAACUCUGCUCUUAAUGAGGAAAUGGCUGCUGAUCCCAAUGUUUUUGUUAUGGACGAAGAGGUAGGAGAAUACCAAGGUGCAUACAAGGCUGGUGAAGUCUGGAAGCUUUACUCAUUCAUAUCCGUUUUGCUGGAGAUCUGAUACUCCUCUCAUCUACAGAUCCCUUCCCAG
RNAcentral lists this long non-coding RNA (872 nucleotides) under Helianthus annuus (common sunflower). RNAcentral describes it as "hypothetical non coding rna". Lineage: Eukaryota; Viridiplantae; Streptophyta; Magnoliopsida; Asterales; Asteraceae. The record is from RNAcentral.